AGUGAACGCUGGCGGUAGGCCUAACACAUGCAAGUCGAACGGCAGCACAGUAAGAGCUUGCUCUUACGGGUGGCGAGUGGCGGACGGGUGAGGAAUACAUCGGAAUCUACUUUUUUGUGGGGGAUAACGUAGGGGAACUUACGCUAAUACCGCAUACGACCUACGGGUGAAAGCAGGGGAUCUUCGGACCUUGCGCGAUUGAAUGAGCCGAUGUCGGAUUAGCUAGUUGGCGGGGUAAAGGCCCACCAAGGCGACGAUCCGUAGCUGGUCUGAGAGGAUGAUCAGCCACACUGGAACUGAGACACGGUCCAGACUCCUACGGGAGGCAGCAGUGGGGAAUAUUGGACAAUGGGCGCAGGCCUGAUCCAGCCAUACCGCGUGGGUGAAGAAGGCCUUCGGGUUGUAAAGCCCUUUUGUUGGGAAAGAAAAGCAGCAGGUUAAUACCCCGCUGUUCUGACGGUACCCAAAGAAUAAGCACCGGCUAACUUCGU
RNAcentral lists this ribosomal RNA (491 nucleotides) under uncultured bacterium. RNAcentral's name for it is "partial 16S ribosomal RNA". It matches the Rfam family "Bacterial small subunit ribosomal RNA", at positions 29 to 506 of the family's 1533-position model. The record is from RNAcentral.